UAGUGAUAACGNAAGGGAAAAAAUUGAUAUUACCUUACUAUAAGUGUUGAUCUAAAUAACUGGUGCCAGAAGACUCGGUAACACCAGAAACGCGAACGUUAGUCGUCUUAAACAGGCGUAAAGGGUAAGUAAGCUGCUUUAAAUUCUAUUUUUUAAAAAGCUAAUUAGUCAUAAUCCUCCCUACUCUUUUCUGCAAUAGCAGUUAGCAACUCCCUCUCUAUCUGCCUGCCUUAAAUGCACUACCUCCCUUAGGAUUUAGCAUCUCUCCUGCCCACUCCUUCCCUCCCUUUUGGGGAGGGGUUCCUUUCGGAUAGGCGAGGGAUUGUUACCUAAAAGAGGAAGACAAAGGAGUUAGAUGAGAGUCAGUAACGCAAUGAGGGGGAUAGUUUUCAGACCCUAAUUUAUAAAUUAAGGCUAACUAAAAUGAAAAUAGGGAAUUAUUAAAUGGAACAAAAUAGAUAAAUUUAAAGCUAGAAUCAUAAUUGAGAUAAACCAAAUAAUACUCAUGUGUAACGGCGAUAUCUGAAAAUACUAAGUACAAUACUACCCGUGACANAUUUUUAUCUGGUAUUGAUUGACGCUGAGGUACGAAAGUGAGAACGGGAAUACGAUGUGCGACU
This 620-nucleotide ribosomal RNA is filed under the name Inocybe argenteolutea. Its description in RNAcentral is "16S ribosomal RNA". Lineage: Eukaryota; Fungi; Basidiomycota; Agaricomycetes; Agaricales; Inocybaceae. The record is from RNAcentral.